RNAcentral lists this ribosomal RNA (854 nucleotides) under Escherichia coli. RNAcentral describes it as "partial 23S ribosomal RNA". It matches the Rfam family "Bacterial large subunit ribosomal RNA", at positions 375 to 1230 of the family's 2925-position model. The record is from RNAcentral. Lineage: Bacteria; Pseudomonadati; Pseudomonadota; Gammaproteobacteria; Enterobacterales; Enterobacteriaceae.
GUACACAAAAAUGCACAUGCUGUGAGCUCGAUGAGUAGGGCGGGACACGUGGUAUCCUGUCUGAAUAUGGGGGGACCAUCCUCCAAGGCUAAAUACUCCUGACUGACCGAUAGUGAACCAGUACCGUGAGGGAAAGGCGAAAAGAACCCCGGCGAGGGGAGUGAAAAAGAACCUGAAACCGUGUACGUACAAGCAGUGGGAGCACAGAGCAAUCUGUGUGACUGCGUACCUUUUGUAUAAUGGGUCAGCGACUUAUAUUCUGUAGCAAGGUUAACCGAAUAGGGGAGCCGAAGGGAAACCGAGUCUUAACUGGGCGUUAAGUUGCAGGGUAUAGACCCGAAACCCGGUGAUCUAGCCAUGGGCAGGUUGAAGGUUGGGUAACACUAACUGGAGGACCGAACCGACUAAUGUUGAAAAAUUAGCGGAUGACUUGUGGCUGGGGGUGAAAGGCCAAUCAAACCGGGAGAUAGCUGGUUCUCCCCGAAAGCUAUUUAGGUAGCGCCUCGUGAAUUCAUCUCCGGGGGUAGAGCACUGUUUCGGCAAGGGGGUCAUCCCGACUUACCAACCCGAUGCAAACUGCGAAUACCGGAGAAUGUUAUCACGGGAGACACACGGCGGGUGCUAACGUCCGUCGUGAAGAGGGAAACAACCCAGACCGCCAGCUAAGGUCCCAAAGUCAUGGUUAAGUGGGAAACGAUGUGGGAAGGCCCAGACAGCCAGGAUGUUGGCUUAGAAGCAGCCAUCAUUUAAAGAAAGCGUAAUAGCUCACUGGUCGAGUCGGCCUGCGCGGAAGAUGUAACGGGGCUAAACCAUGCACCGAAGCUGCGGCAGCGACGCUUAUGCGUUGUUGGGUA